UGGGUAACCUGCCCUUAACUCUGGGAUAAGCCUGGGAAACUGGGUCUAAUACCGGAUAUGACUCCUCAUCGCAUGGUGGGGGGUGGAAAGCUUUAUUGUGGUUUUGGAUGGACUCGCGGCCUAUCAGCUUGUUGGUGAGGUAAUGGCUCACCAAGGCGACGACGGGUAGCCGGCCUGAGAGGGCGACCGGCCACACUGGGACUGAGACACGGCCCAGACUCCUACGGGAGGCAG
RNAcentral lists this ribosomal RNA (234 nucleotides) under uncultured bacterium. RNAcentral describes it as "partial 16S ribosomal RNA". It matches the Rfam family "Bacterial small subunit ribosomal RNA", at positions 118 to 351 of the family's 1533-position model. The record is from RNAcentral.